CCCAAGAAACCUUUUUAAUUAAAAUACAUAUAUAUUUCUCUUGAAACACGAAUACAUAAGCGAUAGUAGCACUAACGAUUCAACUAAUGACGAUUUAUUUUGAAUAACCCUUCUCACUAGUAAAUCUAAGUUCUCUUGCUAAAAAUACUAGCGGCAAAUCAAUUUUAAACAUACAAAACUAUUAUUUUCACAUGAUUAAUAUGAAAUUUUGUACAAAAACUAUUUUCCUCUUGCAAAUUUUAACAUUGUCAUCCAAAAAAUCCAACUAAC
RNAcentral lists this long non-coding RNA (270 nucleotides) under Carica papaya (papaya). RNAcentral describes it as "long non-coding RNA (CPAP_LNC000390)". The record is from RNAcentral. Lineage: Eukaryota; Viridiplantae; Streptophyta; Magnoliopsida; Brassicales; Caricaceae.